This 468-nucleotide ribosomal RNA is filed under the name uncultured bacterium. Its description in RNAcentral is "partial 16S ribosomal RNA". It matches the Rfam family "Bacterial small subunit ribosomal RNA", at positions 28 to 507 of the family's 1533-position model. The record is from RNAcentral.
GACGAACGCUGGCGGCGUGCUUAACACAUGCAAGUCGAACGGAAAGGCCCUGCUUUUGUGGGGUGCUCGAGUGGCGAACGGGUGAGUAACACGUGAGUAACCUGCCCUUGACCUCGGGAUAACUUCAGGAAACUGGGGCUAAUACCGGAUAGGAGCUCCUGCUGCAUGGUGGGGGUUGGAAAGUUUCGGCGGUUGGGGAUGGACUCGCGGCUUAUCAGCUUGUUGGUGGGGUAGUGGCUUACCAAGGCUUUGACGGGUAGCCGGCCUGAGAGGGUGACCGGCCACAUUGGGACUGAGAUACGGCCCAGACUCCUACGGGAGGCAGCAGUGGGGAAUAUUGCACAAUGGGCGGAAGCCUGAUGCAGCAACGCCGCGUGCGGGAUGACGGCCUUCGGGUUGUAAACCGCUUUCGCCUGUGACGAAGCGUGAGUGACGGUAAUGGGUAAAGAAGCACCGGCUAACUACGUG